ACAAGCUAAUACAAAGAGAGAGAAGGAGAAGGAACAGAAUCGUUAGGGUUUGGGAGGAAUCAGUUUCGUCAUAUAAAAUCGUUGUCAAAGAUAACGAAAUUUAGUAGAGUUAUUCCCAAGUCUUUUAUCGUUAUUCUCCAGUUUACAGAAGUGGAUUUGGAUUUAAAUUGGUUGAGUUAUUCGCAGUUUCGUGAGACACGUUUUCUCAUAUACGAAUUAGGACCAGCAGGGAUUGAAACUGAGAUCGUGGUCUGUUCUCCGAUCGGCACGAGUUUUUGUGUGCAGCUUUGUGACGUCUACGGCUAGCGUUUCACCGGAGGGAUUUAAUAGUUAACGGUUAGUUUGUAUUUUAGAGUUUCGUCUUUGAGAUUGUUUGUUUCUGUUUUUCAUGUCCAGUUUGCUUCAAGGUUGUUUUUGGUUGUGACUUGUUGUAGGACGUUUCUGGACUGUUUCACACGUAAGGAGAGUCUCUCCUGAGUUUAAUUAUUGUUAGAAUCAAUUUGUUAAGGUGAGUACGUGACCAUGAGCUUAUCUGAGCGAUUGGGUUGUAUGAUUUGUUUUGUGUGAUGAUAUGUAGGUGUGGUGAAUGUGUUUUUGGGUGAAUUGUUCAAUGACUGGUUUGUUUAUGUUGUAUUUGUGAUUAUACCCCUUUUAAUUGCUUGUGUGUAUAGCUCGUAGAUGGGAGGAUCGCCUCACUAAGUAUUUGUGAUAAUACUUACGCAUGUCUUUCUUUUUGGUGCAGGUAAAGAUAAAGUGUGAUCGUGGAAUCAUGGCAAGAAAGAGAGGAUGAUCUAGGAACUCGUUUGGUUUAUUUUUGUAUUUUGGUUAUUAGAACCGGUUAGGGUUGUUUUAGGAUUGUUAGUCAUUCUUGGUUUGUUGGUUGAAUCAUUUAUUUAUUCAUAAAUAGUAUCUUUGACUUGGGGUUUAAUUGUUGCUUUAUUGAUUGGUUUAAUUAAGUAUUUAUGGGAAUAUUUAAUUAUGUUUU
This 985-nucleotide small RNA is filed under the name Arabidopsis thaliana (thale cress). RNAcentral describes it as "ATSL154820". Lineage: Eukaryota; Viridiplantae; Streptophyta; Magnoliopsida; Brassicales; Brassicaceae. The record is from RNAcentral.